UACGUAGGGCGCAAGCGUUGUCCGGAAUUAUUGGGCGUAAAGAGCUCGUAGGCGGUCUGUCACGUCGGAUGUGAAAGCCCGGGGCUUAACCCCGGGUCUGCAUUCGAUACGGGCAGACUAGAGUGUGGUAGGGGAGAUCGGAAUUCCUGGUGUAGCGGUGAAAUGCGUAGAGAUCGGGCGGAACACCAGCGGCGAAGGCGGCAUCCUGGUCCUGUUCUGACGCUGAGGCGCGAGAGCGUGGGGAGCAAACAGG
RNAcentral lists this ribosomal RNA (253 nucleotides) under uncultured bacterium. RNAcentral describes it as "partial 16S ribosomal RNA". It matches the Rfam family "Bacterial small subunit ribosomal RNA", at positions 524 to 776 of the family's 1533-position model. The record is from RNAcentral.